This 504-nucleotide ribosomal RNA is filed under the name uncultured bacterium. RNAcentral's name for it is "partial 16S ribosomal RNA". It matches the Rfam family "Bacterial small subunit ribosomal RNA", at positions 30 to 523 of the family's 1533-position model. The record is from RNAcentral.
AUUGAACGCUGGCGGCAGGCUUAACACAUGCAAGUCGAGCGGGGUGAUGGUGCUUGCACUAUCACUUAGCGGCGGACGGGUGAGUAAUGCUUAGGAAUCUGCCUAUUAGUGGGGGACAACAUCUCGAAAGGGAUGCUAAUACCGCAUACGUCCUACGGGAGAAAGCAGGGGAUCACUUGUGACCUUGCGCUAAUAGAUGAGCCUAAGACGCGAUUAGCUAGUUGGUGGGGUAAAGGCCUACCAAGGCGACGAUCUGUAGCGGGUCUGAGAGGAUGAUCCGCCACACUGGGACUGAGACACGGCCCAGACUCCUACGGGAGGCAGCAGUGGGGAAUUUUGGACAAUGGGGGGAACCCUGAUCCAGCCAUGCCGCGUGUGUGAAGAAGGCCUUAUGGUUGUAAAGCACUUUAAGCGAGGAGGAGGCUCUUUUGGUUAAUACCCAAGAUGAGUGGACGUUACUCGCAGAAUAAGCACCGGCUAACUCUGUGCCAGCCGCCGCCGUAA